This 334-nucleotide ribosomal RNA is filed under the name uncultured Gemmiger sp. RNAcentral's name for it is "bacterial SSU rRNA". It matches the Rfam family "Bacterial small subunit ribosomal RNA", at positions 355 to 704 of the family's 1533-position model. Lineage: Bacteria; Bacillati; Bacillota; Clostridia; Eubacteriales; Oscillospiraceae. The record is from RNAcentral.
UGGGGGAUAUUGCACAAUGGGGGAAACCCGUGAUGCAGCGACGCCGCGUGGAGGAAGAAGGUUUUCGGUAUUGUAAACUCCUGUCGUUAGGGACGAUAAUGACGGUACCUAACAAGAAAGCACCGGCUAACUACGUGCCAGCAGCCGCGGUAAAACGUAGGGUGCAAGCGUUGUCCGGAAUUACUGGGUGUAAAGGGAGCGCAGGCGGACCGGCAAGUUGGAAGUGAAAACCAUGGGCUCAACCCAUGAAUUGCUUUCAAAACUGCUGGCCUUGAGUAGUGCAGAGGUAGGUGGAAUUCCCGGUGUAGCGGUGGAAUGCGUAGAUAUCGGGGAG